Molecule: unclassified non-coding RNA, 322 nt
Filed under: Chytridiomycota sp.
Lineage: Eukaryota; Fungi; Chytridiomycota
Description: partial contains small subunit ribosomal RNA, internal transcribed spacer 1, and 5.8S ribosomal RNA
Rfam family: Eukaryotic small subunit ribosomal RNA (bases 1-47)
Source: RNAcentral
AAAGUCGUAACAAGGUAACCGUAGGUGAACCUGCGGUUGGAUCAUUAACAAAUUGAUCAGGCUAAGCUUCACAGCUCUGCCGGUGUUUCUCCUGCGAAAGCGGGUAGGAAACCCAAACCCAUUUGUGAAAUGUAUAGAUGUCUCUGGCGGUGGGGUGUCGAAAAGGUUCUUGUAGCUUUCUCAAUCCCUGUCAGCAUGCUUUAUGCCUGUGGACAAGCCGCCAAUUGCUUCUUAACAACGCUUUUGCUAAGUAUCAUUGUCUAACCUGUUUAUUUUGUAAAAUAUACAAAAACAACUUUUGGCAACGGAUCUCUUGGCUCUC